This 759-nucleotide ribosomal RNA is filed under the name uncultured bacterium. RNAcentral describes it as "bacterial SSU rRNA". It matches the Rfam family "Bacterial small subunit ribosomal RNA", at positions 124 to 892 of the family's 1533-position model. The record is from RNAcentral.
ACCUACCUUACACUGGGGGAUAGCCCAGAGAAAUCUGGAUUAAUACCGCAUAAUAUGAUUUUUUCGCAUGGAAAAAUUAUUAAAACUCCGGUGGUGUAAGAUGGGCAUGCGUAGUUAGCUUGUUGGUGAGGUAACGGCUCACCAAGGCGAUGAUGCUUAGGGGGUCUGAGAGGAUAGUCCCCCACACUGGUACUGAGACACGGACCAGACUCCUACGGGAGGCAGCAGUGAGGAAUAUUGGUCAAUGGGCGCAAGUGAACCAGCCAUGUCGCGUGUAGGAUGACUGCCCUAUGGUUGUAAACUACUUUUUUACAGGAAUAAACCUUUCCACGUGUGGGAAGCUGAAGGUACUGUAGGAAUAAGGAUCGGCUAACUCCGUGCCAGCAGCCGCGGUAAUACGGAGGAUUCGAGCGUUAUCCGGAUUUAUUGGGUUUAAAGGGUCCGUAGCGGGCUGAUAAGUCAGUGGUGAAAUCUCACAGCUCAACUGUGAAACUGCCAUUGAUACUGUUGGUCUUGAAUUUAGUUGAGGUAGGCGGAAUACGAUAUGUAGCGGUGAAAUGCAUAGAUAUAUCGUAGAACACCGAUUGCGAAGCAGCUUACUAAGCUAAUAUUGACGCUGAUGGACGAAAGCGUGGGGAGCGAACAGGAUUAGAUACCCUGGUAGUCCACGCCGUAAACGAUGAUUACUCGUUGUGCGCGAUACAUUGUGCGCGACUGAGCGAAAGAUUAAGUAAUCCACCUGGGGAGUACGUUGGCAAC